Long non-coding RNA from Oncorhynchus keta (chum salmon), 423 nucleotides. RefSeq lists it as uncharacterized. The transcript is spliced from 4 exons. NCBI's taxonomy places the organism in Eukaryota, Metazoa, Chordata, Actinopteri, Salmoniformes, Salmonidae. The record is from RefSeq and is a predicted model, not a curated record.
UGGAGAAUUAACGUAGCAGGUUAGGAGAAUUAACAUAGCAGGUUAGGAGAAUUAACGUAGCAGGUUAGGAGAAUUAACGUAGCAGGUUAGGAGAAUUAACGUAGCAGGUUAGGAGAAUUAACGUAGCAGGUUAGGAGAAUUAACGUAGCAGGUUAGGAGAAUUAACGUAGCAGGUUAGGAGAAUUAACGUAGCAGGUUAGGAGAAUUAACGUAGCAGGUUAGGAGAAUUAACGUAGCAGGUUAGGAGAAUUAACGUAGCAGGUUAGGAGAAUUAACGUAGCAGGUUCGGAGAAUUAAUGUAGCAGGUUAGGAGAAUUAACAUAGCGGGUUAGGAGAAUUAAGGUGGGGAAUGCUGAAGCAUACGUUGAUGAAAGUUUUACUGUCUCCAUUUAGAGGCCCAGACUUUUGACAUAGACGGUAAAA